GCACCCGUAGCUCAGUUGGAUUAGAGUACAACACUACGAAUGUUGGGGUCGCAGGUUCGAGCCCUGCCGGGUGCGCCA
This 78-nucleotide transfer RNA is filed under the name Bdellovibrionales bacterium. RNAcentral describes it as "tRNA-Arg". It matches the Rfam family "tRNA". From Rfam's summary of the family: Transfer RNA (tRNA) molecules are approximately 80 nucleotides in length. Their secondary structure includes four short double-helical elements and three loops (D, anti-codon, and T loops). Further hydrogen bonds mediate the characteristic L-shaped molecular structure. tRNAs have two regions of fundamental functional importance: the anti-codon, which is responsible for specific mRNA codon recognition, and the 3' end, to which the tRNAs corresponding amino acid is attached (by aminoacyl-tRNA synthetases). tRNAs cope with the degeneracy of the genetic code in two manners: having more than one tRNA (with a specific anti-codon) for a particular amino acid; and 'wobble' base-pairing, i.e. permitting non-standard base-pairing at the 3rd anti-codon position. Lineage: Bacteria; Pseudomonadati; Bdellovibrionota; Bdellovibrionia; Bdellovibrionales. The record is from RNAcentral. RNAcentral also lists the same sequence under 2 other names.